Molecule: ribosomal RNA, 236 nt
Filed under: Vibrio sp. D420a
Lineage: Bacteria; Pseudomonadati; Pseudomonadota; Gammaproteobacteria; Vibrionales; Vibrionaceae
Description: partial 16S ribosomal RNA
Rfam family: Bacterial small subunit ribosomal RNA
Source: RNAcentral
AAAUUGAAGAGUUUGAUCAUGGCUCAGAUUGAACGCUGGCGGCAGGCCUAACACAUGCAAGUCGAGCGGAAACGAGUUAUCUGAACCUUCGGGGGACGAUAACGGCGUCGAGCGGCGGACGGGUGAGUAAUGCCUAGGAAAUUGCCUUGAUGUGGGGGAUAACCAUUGGAAACGAUGGCUAAUACCGCAUAAUGCCUACGGGCCAAAGAGGGGGACCUUCGGGCCUCUCGCGUCAA